RNAcentral lists this small RNA (92 nucleotides) under Mytilus galloprovincialis (Mediterranean mussel). The record is from RNAcentral. Lineage: Eukaryota; Metazoa; Mollusca; Bivalvia; Mytilida; Mytilidae.
UAGUAGGUUAAUAUGGGGACGAAGUCCCCAAUAACAGUAGAAAAUUCAAUAAAAAAAAAAAUUCGGGAAAAUUUCCCGAAUUUUCAUUGUAU